GACCGCUCCGGUGGCCUAGUGGCUAGAGCGUCCGUCUCCGAUACGGGAGGUUGUGGGUUCGAUCCCCGGUCGAGUCA
Non-coding RNA from Potamilus streckersoni, 77 nucleotides. NCBI's taxonomy places the organism in Eukaryota, Metazoa, Mollusca, Bivalvia, Unionida, Unionidae. The record is from the annotation of a GenBank genome assembly.